UCCCCAGGACGAUAUUCAGGACGUUCAGGAGUCUGGAACUCUCCCUCAGUACGUAGGUUAUCCUCGGGCUUGAUCUGCUUCGGACGCUCGGCCGGUCUAUACUGAGGCUUCUCAGGCGUUUGGAAGUCUCCUUCAGGUCUGAGAUUGUCCUCGGGCUUGAUCUGCUUCGGACGCUCGGCCGGUCGGAAAGGAGAUUUCUCGGGACGCUCGAAUUCUCCUUCUGGACGAAGGUUAUCGUCAUGACGCACAGGCUUCGGACGCUCUCCAGGACGAUAUUCAGGACGUUCCGGAGUCUGGAACUCUCCCUCAGUACGUAGGUUAUCCUCGGGUCUGAUCUGCUUCGGACGCUCGGCCGGUCUAUACUGAGGCUUCUCAGGCUUUUGGAAGUCUCCUUCAGGUCUGAGAUUGUCCUCGGGCUUGAUCUGCUUCGGGCGCUCGGCCGGUCGGAAAGGAGAUUUCUCGGGACGCUCGAAGUCUCCUUCUGGGCGAAGGUUAUCAUCGGGACGAAUAGGUCUUGGUCGCUCACCAGAAAUGUAUACCGUUUUCUCAGUGCGUUCAAAGUUGCCUUCCAUGUAAAGAUUAUCUUCAUGGCGAACGAUUUG
Molecule: long non-coding RNA, 602 nt
Organism: Anopheles funestus (African malaria mosquito)
Lineage: Eukaryota; Metazoa; Arthropoda; Insecta; Diptera; Culicidae
Exons: 5
Source: RefSeq, a predicted model, not a curated record